Molecule: long non-coding RNA, 1328 nt
Filed under: Equus asinus (donkey)
Lineage: Eukaryota; Metazoa; Chordata; Mammalia; Perissodactyla; Equidae
Description: lncRNA (ENSEASG00005029003.1)
Source: RNAcentral
CACCCAGCUCCUGUUUCUUUUUCUGCGCUGCGUUCACUUCAAGUAUGAGCCAAGGGUGACACCUGGUGGCCAUUUCUGUAGCUGCAGAACCCAGAGCGGAGACACCCAACAACAGGAGGGGCGUGAGGGCCUAUUAUGACAACAGAGAAACCAGGUACAGCAAGGUUAAGCAACCUGCUCCGGGUCACAUGGUUCCUAAGUGCCCAAAUGAUGAAAUGAGUGGAACACCUGGCAAGCCUCUGGGGGACAGAGGAGGCCAAAAGGAAGUGGCCUGCCAUUGGGUUAGAAGUGCCAAAUUCCAAUCCAGCCUUGCCCAACAAGUAGAGUGACCUCCUUCAAGGGCCUUCUGCUGGCUGAGCGCCAGUCUCCUUGAUGGUACCAUGCGGUGUUCGAUAGAGCCGUGAUUCUCAACUGACUGUAUGCAAGAAUCACCUGGGGAGAAUGUUUUAAAUACCGACGCUUGCCCCGGCACUGGCUGAUGAAAUCAAUAUCAGUAGGAGUGGGACCGAGGUAUAGGUAUUUUCAAAAUCUUUUUAAAUGACUCAACAUGAAGCCAGGGUUGAGAAGGAGGCCUCUGGGAGAUUCCAUCUUCAGAUCUCCCUGCACUCCAGAGGUCAGCCCCUGAGGCCUCCCUGCUGCCCGGAGGGCUCACCAGAGAAACAGCCCUCUCUCCCCCAGCAUUCCCUGGACAUCUUAACUGGUCCGCCCAGACCCCCAGGACAAGCUGCCUCCCCACCCCCUGGGCCUUCAGGGAGAAUACUGGCUAUCAGUCCUUCCCAGAGGGGGCUCAGCAGGUGUGACCCCACGCCUGGCCUCUGGGGUGGGGGCAUGGAAGGCCACUGGGAGCUUAACCCCAACAGGAUGAAGGCGCCAUAAUUAGGGUCAGGCGGUUGGCUCAGCCUGCGGAAAUCCCCAGCUUAGUAGGGAUGGGGGUGCUUCAGCCUGGGAAGGGGGGUCAGGGCAGAAGUGAGGGGGCAGAGGAGCUCAGGCAUGUGGAAACCCCAGGGCCUAGCCCCUAGCCACCUCCUGAAAGGGCCCUCUAGAAGCUCAACACCGUUACCCCCCCACCCUGGACUCACUGACCGCCCAGGGAGGGAGGGACGGGACGGACCAGCCCCCCAACCCCAGCAGCCCUGCUGCUCCCGUCAGGCUGGGGUGUGCCAGGAUCAUCCCCCUACUCUGGCGUUUGGUGGGAGGACGAGGGCACCGGUGGGAAAGCACUAAGUGAGCGUUCCCAGGGCAACGCAGGCUUCUCUCCAGCCUGUAAUCCUCAGGCCUUGAGUGAGGGAUCACUUUCCUCUGUGGAAUGUAACACGGAGGGGACAAAA